Non-coding RNA from Pelobates cultripes (western spadefoot toad), 326 nucleotides. Lineage: Eukaryota; Metazoa; Chordata; Amphibia; Anura; Pelobatidae. The record is from the annotation of a GenBank genome assembly.
CAGUAACAGAGGGAUUGAGGUCCUGCUCAGUGAGUUUACAUGUUAGAGGGAGUGGGGUAUAGUAACAGUAACAGAGGGAUUGAGGGCCUGCUCAGUGAGUUUACAUGUUAGAGGGAGUGGGGUAUAGUGACACAGUAACAGAGGGAUUGAGGGUCCUGCUCAGUGAGCUUAAAUGUUAGAGGGAGUGGGGUAUAGUGACACAGUAACAGAGGGAUUGAGGGCCCUGCUCAGUGAGUUUACAUGUUAGAGGGAGUGGGGUAUAGUGACACAGUAACAGAGGGAUUGAGGGUCCUGCUCAGUGAGCUUACAUGUUAGAGGGAGUGGGG